Long non-coding RNA from Trachemys scripta elegans, 2704 nucleotides. RefSeq lists it as uncharacterized. NCBI's taxonomy places the organism in Eukaryota, Metazoa, Chordata, Testudines, Emydidae. The transcript is spliced from 3 exons. The record is from RefSeq and is a predicted model, not a curated record.
GGCAGCUGCUCCCGGGACCCUCCUGCUAGCUGUGCAGAGCGGGGGUGGACGGCAGAGGAUGCUGAUGUCAGCGUGUCCCCUCCCCCGCCCCUGUACCCCAUCUCCGCAGAGCAGGGCAGAGGGGACAGCCUGGUUCAAGAGGACUCCGUGCUGCUGUAGUCUGAGGGGGUACAGCACAUAGUUGACUGGAAAAUUUGCUUGCUCAUCAGCCUCUGAAGCUCACAUUGAUGCUGAAAUUCAGGAAGAGUCUGGAUCUGCUAUAACUCCUCUGAACCCAUUGAUUAAUUGGAAUAGAUUUUGUUUUUAUGCAGCUCUGGCAUAUCAUUUCCACUACUGAGGUGUGAAAUUUACACAUUUUGAAAGACCAGAGGAAAUAAACAAGUUGCCAUAACUGAGCAGAAUUGCACUACUGUCAACGUUACCAAUAAAAGUAUUUUGCUGUAACAUCAUCAGAUACGCUAUCUAAAAGACACCGUUAGCCUUCCUUUCAGCUCGAUUUUUGUUAAAUACAACAUUAAGGGACUGUAUCUAAAACUGGACCAUAAUAUAAAGUUAAUUCUGGCAUACAGUACCUUGCAGGGGAACAUCCAGGGUGACAUUUGUCCGCUCUUGCAAGGAGCUGCAAGCCACAGCUUUAGCAUUCUUCCGUUCAGCCAUAAUCUGGAGAAGACGGCAAUAGAACAGCAUUUUUCCCCCCCAAGAUAUAUUACAGUAGCAAUUCCAAGUAUAAAUUUACUCUCAUUACACCCCUAAUCUGGGAAAUCUGCAAUUAGUCAGAGUCCAUAUGACCAAAAGAGAUACUAAAAUUAAUUUUCUUUCAGUUUAUUUACAAUUCUCUCUUUGCGGGACGUAGAGCUACAAAUAGAUAUGAAAAAUACAUGAAGUGAAAAUUAGCAGUUUAUAUGUUCAAAAACUGCAGUGAGGAAGGACAUAGAAAGUAGUAUAACUAAAUCUAUACAAAUAAAAAGUGAAGAAGCACUUGUCAUCCCAUGCAUAUUUCUGAUCUACCUAUUUACAUAUACCCUCCUGAGAAAAGAGUUACCAUUGUGACCCUGGCUGUGUUGGAAUGUAAUGUACAACUACAUUUUGUUUAUGUUUUAGUAAUACACAAACUGCCAUUUUAAGUACAUUUUACAGAGAGGUCUAGUGGUCUGAGCACAGGACCUGGAGGCAGAAACUUGCUCUAAAAUCAUGGCUCUCACACUGGCUCCCUCUGUUUGUGAUUAUUAUACUUUGAGGUUGCUUUCUGUUUAUGAGGCAAUAUUCAUAUCCUGGGCUAAAUAAAAUAAGAGCUGUUGCUGAGAGUCGGCUAGCUUAAGAAUAAGGCCCUGAUUCAGUAGAACAAGUCCAUCCAAUGGUAUGUAAGAAUGUACUUAAUUGCUUUGCUGACUCAGGGCCAUAACUAUCAUUGAGGGCUUGUCUACACCGGGGGUUUAACUCAGGCUGCUUGACCUAAAAAUGCCUGUGUACAAGCAACAUAGUUCCUUUGAGUGCACUAACUCCACAUUUAUCACAAACUCUGGAGUCUUCUUUCAAGUUAGAUGCAAACUUAGUUAACACGGUCUAUUGUUAGUGCGCACACAAUGCUGCUUCACACUACUUUGGAAGUCCUCCAACUGCUAUCCCACACUCCUUUGCAGACAUGUAUGAUGGACCUGUGUGUUUACCUGUGUCCCCUCCCACUGCUCUGGAGUCAAAUUGACAAGAUAUCUCCCUCAUCUGCCAGGAUCAGACCAUUUAUUCCUGGAUUCCAAUAUACUUCUGUUACAACAAUAUUACUCCAGCAGCCUCUACAACUGUGCUUCCAACAGCUGCUUGGCGCCAUGCUGAGACUCUAGAUCUCACUACCAUCUGGGGAGAAGCAACAGUGCAGCAAGCUCUUGGGGCCAGCCACCAGAAUGAAGAUGUGUUGGUGGACAACUGACUAGCAAUGUCCACAAGGGGUCACAACCAGGACACCAACUAGUACCAGAUAAAGACCAAACAGCUCAGGAGACUGUACACUACAAUCCUAGAUGCAAGAAGAGUCUGGCUGUGGAAAUAUAACCUAUCUAUUUUUUGAGGAGCUGGACAGGAUAUUAAGCAAUUACACAGCCAAGGAGGUUGUGGAUCCUGUGCACAGCUGCACCCCCUUCUCCUGAGGACAAGCGACAAGAGUCAUUGAAGGAAGAACACAAGUAGCACAGCGAAGAGCUCUCCCCACAAAGCCAGAAUCUCUUCAGGACUCAGGACUCUGAGGGUAGCCAUGUUGGAAGCCAGCCUGAUUCCCAGCCAGAAGCUAGCCCGGGACUGAGGAGGCAGAUCCUAUCAAAGAAACCUUGGCAUGAGGAAGAGAGACCAGACUAGACUCCCCAUAUCCUCUCCUGGACUCAGCGUAUGGCACCAGCAUCCCAUCCCCAUAUUCUAGGAUAACACUCUCUUCUCCUGUAGUCAGGUAAUGUGGUUAGCUCUCUACCUCAGGUUGUAGCAAUCUGUGCUGUAGGGUUUAAGGCUCAGAGUUCUAGCCCUGUGGAUGAUGUAUGAAGGGGAGGAUUAUUACCAUUGCACAUAACAUAAUUUGUUUUCACCUUUGUCCUUGAAAAACUCCUAGGCAAUGACAUACAAAAAACUACAUUAACAGAACCUUAUUUUGCUUGCAACAUUCUCAAUAGUUAGGAAAUGCCAGAAUUACGGUUGCCCAUGCAACCUUAAUUCAGCCUCCUUG